This 85-nucleotide transfer RNA is filed under the name Caldifarciminota bacterium. RNAcentral's name for it is "tRNA-Leu". It matches the Rfam family "tRNA". From Rfam's summary of the family: Transfer RNA (tRNA) molecules are approximately 80 nucleotides in length. Their secondary structure includes four short double-helical elements and three loops (D, anti-codon, and T loops). The record is from RNAcentral. Lineage: Bacteria; Pseudomonadati; Caldifarciminota. RNAcentral also lists the same sequence under 1 other name.
GCCGAGGUGGCGGAAUUGGCAGACGCGCUGGGUUCAGGACCCAGUGGGAGUUGAUCCCGUGGGGGUUCGAGUCCCCCCCUCGGCA